ACAUUAUACUUUAAACUUCGUUUCUACAACACAGUGUAAUUAAAUUUUAUCAAGGAAAGGUUUAUAUUUAAUAAUUUAUCGUUGAAGCAAAAACUAUUGUCUCUAGAAAUGAAGAGAAAGGGAGAAUUGGGGUUCCCUGAAACAAUAAUCUAUUUAGAAGUGUGCGAUAGUGUCGAAGCGUGGAAAAAGGGGUUGGCACGAUAAUAGGGAGUUGAGUGGGGAGAGAGAAAGAGAGAGGAUGUUUAGUGAAUCACGAGCCACUACCCGUAGGAAAUUGAAGGCUGGAUAAGCCUUUAUUGGCCGAUAACGAUUAAUGAUUCUGCGUGGGAUUGCAGCCAGUUGCCUUGUCGUCAUUGGUCAACCAGUUCACCAGUCGUGAAUAUACGGAGAGACUCAUGCAUUUCUGCGGUUGAUUAUCAACGCUAUUUUGCGUUAUCGCGACAAAAUCAAAUGCAAAUUUCAUCGAGCGCUUUUUUCCCUCUUCUUUGACAGAGAUUUAUCGGAAUUAUCCAAUAGCGGAUAUUAUAUUAUACCGACAUCCGCUAAUGUUUACCGUUUGAGCUCCCUUUUAUAAACCACACUUUAUUGCCAGCUGUUGAGAAACUGGACUCUGGGUCCUCAGGGAUGGCUGUAAUUGAGCUGCGUUUCCUGGACGUCCUCUUGGCCUUCGACCAGGUCGCGGCUGUAAUAAAUAAAGGCGAUAUUUAGUUAAAAAUAAUAACUACACGUCUUCACGAAAUUACACCUAAGGAAAGAAUAUGCAGUGACCCAAUAUUUACAACACUUUUUGUCUCUUCUGAAAUUCCUCGCAGUUCCAUACAUAAUCCUCAAAGAGAGAAAGGGAAAGAAAAAGAAGAAGAAAUUAACGAGGUGCUGGAUAACGCAAAAGGAGGGAAAAAAGAUCUGAAAUGUAAUAGAAAGAGAAGUCUCGUGUUAUUCAGCAGACACUUCCGAGAAGUUCCCCUGUUUAAACUGCAGAUCUCGGCAGAAUUAAUUUUCCGAGUCCUCUCUUCGCCUGUUCAGUUUCCCCCCUUUCGGUUCGAAACGAGCUCUUCUCUCUUUCUCUCUUUCUCUCUCUCGAAAUACCGCACGAGCAAACAGUUUCGUUCACGUAGAAAGAAGAAUCCAAGGCGAUGUUCCGUAUGUGUUUUAUUGCAAAUUGAGGUUAAAGUCUUUGGCACAUGGCCAAGUAUUCACCUAGGCAGGCACAUUCCAGCUGCAUAGAUAAAUAUACGAACGUAUACAUGCAGAGAGACACAACUUUAAUGUUGAUCGUACAGCGUACACUGAGUGCGAGGGGGUUACAAUAAGGUGCCCUCAUAUGGAUUCGAGAACAAUAUAUGCGCAAUUCAAGUUCCAACAUUCAAGUUACACUGAAGUAAGACAUGACCCAUUGCUCUUGUGUACAAGACGAAGCUACGUGUACCCGCCCGAGUUUUAAGUAAGUACACGGAAAUUACAUGAAAUAAAUUCUUACAUUCACUUUCACAUUCUCCUUCAACUAUUAAGAAAGUAUUUUGCUUCAAAUGAAAACUGACAUUUUACACCCUAAAAAAGUAUUUUGAUUUCA
Molecule: long non-coding RNA, 1570 nt
Organism: Leptopilina heterotoma
Lineage: Eukaryota; Metazoa; Arthropoda; Insecta; Hymenoptera; Figitidae
Exons: 3
Source: RefSeq, a predicted model, not a curated record